GGAUAUUUAGUCUAAAUAAAGACCACUAAUUUCGACUUAGUAAAUUAUGGUAAAAAUCCAUAAAUAUCCU
RNAcentral lists this transfer RNA (70 nucleotides) under Megachasma pelagios. Its description in RNAcentral is "tRNA-Arg". It matches the Rfam family "tRNA". Rfam says of the family: Transfer RNA (tRNA) molecules are approximately 80 nucleotides in length. Their secondary structure includes four short double-helical elements and three loops (D, anti-codon, and T loops). Further hydrogen bonds mediate the characteristic L-shaped molecular structure. tRNAs have two regions of fundamental functional importance: the anti-codon, which is responsible for specific mRNA codon recognition, and the 3' end, to which the tRNAs corresponding amino acid is attached (by aminoacyl-tRNA synthetases). tRNAs cope with the degeneracy of the genetic code in two manners: having more than one tRNA (with a specific anti-codon) for a particular amino acid; and 'wobble' base-pairing, i.e. permitting non-standard base-pairing at the 3rd anti-codon position. Lineage: Eukaryota; Metazoa; Chordata; Chondrichthyes; Lamniformes; Megachasmidae. The record is from RNAcentral.